GGGGAAUUAGCUCAAAUGGUAGAGUGCUUGCUUUGCAUAUGAGAGGUAGUGGGAUGGAGACCUGCAUUCUCCA
This 73-nucleotide transfer RNA is filed under the name Perca fluviatilis (European perch). It matches the Rfam family "tRNA". Rfam says of the family: Transfer RNA (tRNA) molecules are approximately 80 nucleotides in length. Their secondary structure includes four short double-helical elements and three loops (D, anti-codon, and T loops). Further hydrogen bonds mediate the characteristic L-shaped molecular structure. tRNAs have two regions of fundamental functional importance: the anti-codon, which is responsible for specific mRNA codon recognition, and the 3' end, to which the tRNAs corresponding amino acid is attached (by aminoacyl-tRNA synthetases). tRNAs cope with the degeneracy of the genetic code in two manners: having more than one tRNA (with a specific anti-codon) for a particular amino acid; and 'wobble' base-pairing, i.e. permitting non-standard base-pairing at the 3rd anti-codon position. The record is from Rfam by way of RNAcentral. Lineage: Eukaryota; Metazoa; Chordata; Actinopteri; Perciformes; Percidae.